UUGGCUAAAGCCUGUUCUUACCAGAAGGUGAAAUGAAGACGAUUCCUUUUGUUCGGUCCCCUCCACUCCUAAACUCUGUCUAGAGCAGGGGUGGGCUCCCUCCUUGUCUGUGCCGCCCACUCGCCUCCUCGCCUCCUGUCGCCUCCACUCCUGACCCCCAUCCAGAGUGUGGGAUGCUGGGUUGCCGGUGACCAUGGGGAGCCGUAAGUGGAGCAGUCACCACCGCACCCUCCCCGUAGCUCCAUCCCCACGCGUCCAGGAUAGCGUGGCCGCUGGUCAGCUGCCGACAGCACACAUAAGAAGUCAUGGAUGGGUCCGAGCGGCUUCCAGGACUCAGCACCCAAAGCAGCCCCGUCCUGACGGUAACAAGCCUGCCCCAUGGGGCGAGGCCCUCUCCCCUCUUCCUCAGAUUCACCCAACCCACUUCUGUCUGUCAAGAGCAGGCUUGAGGAACAGUCAAGCUUGAGUUCUCUUGGCCUUUCCUGGACAUCUGUCCUGAGGCUGCUCUCAUUUAAGCCUCACGGAGGAAACCCAAGUUUCUGCAGCAGGAGAGGGGCGUGACCCCAGGGACAGCCGGAGAAGACGGUGUAGAACCAGCUGUCACGGAGCCUGAUGUCCGGCCUGGAGCAUCAGCCCAUCACCUUCAGAGUGGACCCGAGGGCCUCACCUGCCACCUGGGGGACAGGUGAGAGGCGGCCAAGGACCCCAGACGAUGAGGGGCAGAGUGUCUGCACUUGUCACCAAAGGCUUCCAGGGAAAAGCGGGGAUGUGUGGACAGGAAGGGGCCGGCGGGUGGGAUCAGGGCACUGGGCGAGCCAGCUUCCAGUUAUGGGGGCUGCGGGCAGGGGAAACUCGAGCCCCUUGCGGCUCCAGCCUUGCCAGGGAGCCCGAGAGCUGGGCUGGCACGCCGCUCUGUGAAGGGCUGGACGGUGUGCUUCAGGCCUCGAGGUCACUCUGCCUCUGGUGCAAACGCUCACCUCUGCCGCUGUGGCCCAGAGCAGCCUUCGACCCACGUGAUGAGUGUGUGUGGCUGUGUCCCCACAUCUCCUUGUUUAUGGAUGCUAAAAUUUGAAUUUCCUAUAAGUUUCACAUGUCACAAAAUAGUCUCUUGAUUUUCCAACUAUUUAAAGAUAUAAACAUCAUUUUUAGCCCUCUGUUGGACAAAAACAGAGGCUGACUUGGGCCCUAGAGCUGUAACUUCUACCUCUGCCUUAGAUGACUCUUUUUAAAGCAUUCUAGCUGGGCCUGGUGGUUCCCACCUGUGGUCCCAGCUACUCAGGAGGCUGAGGCACGAGGACCUCUGGGUCUGAGAGUUCGAGGCUGUAGUCAGCCGUGACUGCACCCAGCCUGGGUGACAGAGCGAGACCCUCUCUCAGUAACUAAAUAAAUAAAAGACAAAAAGA
Molecule: long non-coding RNA, 1403 nt
Organism: Homo sapiens (human)
Lineage: Eukaryota; Metazoa; Chordata; Mammalia; Primates; Hominidae
Exons: 2
Source: RefSeq, a predicted model, not a curated record